GUGGAGUUGCUUAGACAACCAGGAUGUUGGCUUAGAAGCAGCCAUCAUUUAAAGAGUGCGUAAUAGCUCACUGGUCGAGUGACUCUGCGCCGAAAAUAUACCGGGGCUAAACGUAUCACCGAAGCUGCGGAUUGUACCGUGGGUACAAUGGUAGGAGAGCGUUCUAAGGGCUGUGAAGUCAGAUCGAAAGAACUGGUGGAGCGCUUAGAAGUGAGAAUGCCGGUAUGAGUAGCGAAAGACAAGUGAGAAUCUUGUCCACCGAAAGCCUAAGGUUUCCUGAGGAAGGCUCGUCCGCUCAGGGUUAGUCGGGACCUAAGCCGAGGCCGAAAGGCGUAGGCGAUGGAAAACAGGUUGACAUUCCUGUACCACCUU
Molecule: ribosomal RNA, 372 nt
Filed under: Salinibacillus xinjiangensis
Lineage: Bacteria; Bacillati; Bacillota; Bacilli; Caryophanales; Bacillaceae
Description: Bacterial large subunit ribosomal RNA
Rfam family: Bacterial large subunit ribosomal RNA
Source: Rfam by way of RNAcentral